AGUGAACGCUGGCGGUAGGCCUAACACAUGCAAGUCGAACGGCAGCACAGGACAGCUUGCUCUCUGGGUGGCGAGUGGCGGACGGGUGAGGAAUACAUCGGAAUCUACUCUGUCGUGGGGGAUAACGUAGGGAAACUUACGCUAAUACCGCAUACGACCUACGGGUGAAAGCAGGGGACCUUCGGGCCUUGCGCGAUUGAAUGAGCCGAUGUCGGAUUAGCUAGUUGGCGGGGUAAAGGCCCACCAAGGCGACGAUCCGUAGCUGGUCUGAGAGGAAGAUCAGCCACACUGGAACGGAGACACGGUCCAGACUCCUACGGGAGGCAGCAGUGGGGAAUAUUGGACAAUGGGCGCAAGCCUGAUCCAGCCAUACCGCGUGGGUGAAGAAGGCCUUCGGGUUGUAAAGCCCUUUUGUUGGGAAAGAAAUCCAGCUGGCUAAUACCCGGUUGGGAUGACGGUACCCAAAGAAUAAGCACCGGCUAACUUCGUGCCAGCCGCCGCAGUAA
This 506-nucleotide ribosomal RNA is filed under the name uncultured bacterium. RNAcentral's name for it is "partial 16S ribosomal RNA". It matches the Rfam family "Bacterial small subunit ribosomal RNA", at positions 29 to 523 of the family's 1533-position model. The record is from RNAcentral.